RNAcentral lists this ribosomal RNA (495 nucleotides) under uncultured bacterium. RNAcentral describes it as "partial 16S ribosomal RNA". It matches the Rfam family "Bacterial small subunit ribosomal RNA", at positions 28 to 507 of the family's 1533-position model. The record is from RNAcentral.
GACGAACGCUGGCGGCGUGCCUAAUACAUGCAAGUAGAACGCUGAAGGAGGAGCUUGCUUCUCUGGAUGAGUUGCGAACGGGUGAGUAACGCGUAGGUAACCUGCCUGGUAGCGGGGGAUAACUAUUGGAAACGAUAGCUAAUACCGCAUAAUAGUAGAUGUUGCAUGACAUUUGCUUAAAAGGUGCAAUUGCAUCACUACCGGAUGGACCUGCGUUGUAUUAGCUAGUUGGUGAGGUAACGGCUCACCAAGGCGACGAUACAUAGCCGACCUGAGAGGGUGAUCGGCCACACUGGGACUGAGACACGGCCCAGACUCCUACGGGAGGCAGCAGUAGGGAAUCUUCGGCAAUGGACGGAAGUCUGACCGAGCAACGCCGCGUGAGUGAAGAAGGUUUUCGGAUCGUAAAGCUCUGUUGUAAGAGAAGAACGAGUGUGAGAGUGGAAAGUUCACACUGUGACGGUAUCUUACCAGAAAGGGACGGCUAACUACGUG